GCCGGGCGGCGCCCUGACCCGGCACGGAGGCGGAAUGGAGGAGCAGGGGGGGAACGUGGCGCCCCACUGAGGCGUGUGGGAGAGAUAAAGGGAGGAGCAGGGGGGGAACAUGGCGCCCCACUGAGGCGUGUGGGAGAGAUAAAGGGAGGAGCAGGGGGGGAACAUGGCGCCCCACUGAGGCGUGUGGGAGAGAUAAAGGGAGGAGCAGGGGGGGAACGUGGCGCCCCACUGAGGCGUGUGGGAGAGAUAAAGGGGGGAGCGUGGGAGACAUGGCAUCCCUUUUGGGGACACCUGGGACGUGUGGGACAGACAAAGGAGGAUGCAAUAAAAACAAACUAAUUUCUUGAAGGGAUCAUAAGUAUGAAUAUUCAUAAAAAACUUAAGACAGAAGCCAUGGUAAUUUCUUCCACAAGUUUUCAUUUGAAGGAGAUAAACCCGAAGACCUGUAAUACCUGACGCUGUAUACGUGCAACAGCUACAGGAGGAUCAGCUGGAACGUUUCAAGAAAGAAUUUCCAGAGUGGAAAAGCCGUGUGUUCCACAGUCAGCCAUUUAAAUCCAUAUCUCCACGUAAAUGUCAUGUAGUUGCCUGGAAGAGAAAUCUAUAGAUAACUUGAAGAGUGUUCAAAUGCAGAAGGAUUAAUUGUAGGUGGAAUGCUGGUUUGUAUCUGUUUAACUUUCACCAUUGGAACAGUUCUGUCUGUGCCUUCUGGUUGGUUCAUUUUAUUUUUAAGUCCCCAAAUAGCAAUAACUGUGUUCCUGAGAGUAGUUAUUAAAAUUUCAAACACUG
Molecule: long non-coding RNA, 789 nt
Organism: Pipra filicauda (Wire-tailed manakin)
Lineage: Eukaryota; Metazoa; Chordata; Aves; Passeriformes; Pipridae
Exons: 2
Source: RefSeq, a predicted model, not a curated record